RNAcentral lists this ribosomal RNA (400 nucleotides) under uncultured bacterium. RNAcentral describes it as "bacterial SSU rRNA". It matches the Rfam family "Bacterial small subunit ribosomal RNA", at positions 355 to 772 of the family's 1533-position model. The record is from RNAcentral.
UGGGGAAUAUUGGACAAUGGGCGAAAGCCUGAUCCAGCAAUGCCGCGUGAAUGAUGAAGGCCUUAGGGUUGUAAAGUUCUUUUAGCAGGGAAGAUAAUGACGGUACCUGCAGAAAAAGCCCCGGCUAACUUCGUGCCAGCAGCCGCGGUAAGACGAAGGGGGCUAGCGUUGUUCGGAAUUACUGGGCGUAAAGAGCGCGUAGGUGGUUCGGUAAGUUGGAAGUGAAAGCCCGGGGCUUAACCUCGGAACUGCUUUCAAUACUGCCGGACUAGAGUAUAGUAGGGGAUGAUGGAAUUCCUAGUGUAGAGGUGAAAUUCUUAGAUAUUAGGAGGAACACCGGUGGCGAAGGCGAUCAUCUGGGCUAUAACUGACACUAGUGCGCGAAAGCGUGGGGAGCAAA